GAAACAGUCAUGACUUAUGAAGUCCUUGCUAGGUGCGAACUAAGUUCUCUGACGUGCAUUAUUUCAUUUAAUCCUCACUGUAACCCUGUGUCCUAGGUUCCGUUACUAUGCCCGUUACCCAGGUGAGGAAACAGAGGUUCAGAGAGGGUAAGGAACUUGCCCCAAAGUCCCAUAGCUAAGAAGUGGCAGGGCCAGGAGUCAAUCCCAACUAGUCUGACUCGAGAGUCUGGCCUUCCCAUCCCAGGGGAUAAGGCAUGGCUGGAUAUUCGGCUGAAUCAACAGGGAAAUGAAAAGCAAAAACAAAACAGCCUUGUACCUUACCCAGCCCUGGGCCAGCUUGAGCCAGUGGGUGUUUCUUUGGCUGUGUUUCCCCAGUUCGCCAUAAAUAGCCUGUCCCUGGGGUCCCACCCCAAACUCGUAGUCACCCGUGGAGCCAACUGUUCUUCAGCAUGCUUGCCUUUUCCUACAAUCGACACUCUGAGGAUGGACACUGUGAGCACACCGCAAGAAGCUGACUGUCUGCCAGGCAGGAGGAGGGCUCUUACCCGAACCCACCGUGCUGGCACCCUGAUCUUGGACGCCAGCCUAGAGAAUUGUGAGAAAAGAAAUUUCUGUUUUUAAGCCACCCAGUCUAUGGUGUUCCGUUAUGGCAGCCCGAGCAGCCUGAGACAGACGUGGAGAUGAGAGGAUGAUCUAAACGCAGUUUUCAUUUGAACAAAACAAAUCAGCUCUCACGGAACUAAGUUUGGAAUCAGCAAUAAAAGCUAAUUCCCCUGGA
Molecule: long non-coding RNA, 778 nt
Filed under: Equus caballus (horse)
Lineage: Eukaryota; Metazoa; Chordata; Mammalia; Perissodactyla; Equidae
Description: lncRNA (ENSECAG00000045956.1)
Source: RNAcentral